GACGAACGCUGGCGGCGUGCCUAACACAUGCAAGUCGAACGGAAAGGCCCUGCUUUUGUGGGGUGCUCGAGUGGCGAACGGGUGAGUAACCCGUGAGUAACCUGUCCUUGACUUUGGGAUAACUUAAGGCAACUGGGGCUAAUACCGGCUAGGAGCUCCUGCUGCAUGGUGGGGGUUGGAAAGUUUCGGCGGUUGGGGAUGGACUCGCGGCUUAUCAGCUUGUUGGUUGGGUAGUGGCUUACCAUGGCUUUGACGGGUAGCCGGCCUGGGAGGGUGACCGGCCACAUUAGGACUGAGAUACGGCCCAGACUCCUACGGGAGGCAACGGUGGGGAAUAUUGCACAAUGGGCGGGAGCCUGAGGCAGCAACGCCGCGUGCGGGAUGACGGCCUUCGGGUUGUAAACCGCUGUCGCCUGUGACGAAGCGUGAGUGACGGUAAUGGGUGAAGAAGCACCGGCUAACUACGUG
RNAcentral lists this ribosomal RNA (468 nucleotides) under uncultured bacterium. Its description in RNAcentral is "partial 16S ribosomal RNA". It matches the Rfam family "Bacterial small subunit ribosomal RNA", at positions 28 to 507 of the family's 1533-position model. The record is from RNAcentral.